GAUGAAGAACGUAGCGAAAUGCGAUAAGUAGUGUGAAUUGCAGAAUUCAGUGAAUCAUCGAAUCUUUGAACGCACAUUGUGCCCUUUGGUAUUCCUUAGGGCAUGCCUGUUCGAGCGUCAUUUAAACCCUUCAAGCUCAGCUUGGUGUUGGGUGACUGUCCGCCGCCCCCGGGCGCGGACUCGCCCCAAAUUCAUUGGCGGCCGGUACGUAGGCUUCGAGCGCAGCAGAAACGCGAACUCGGGCCCGCGGUGUCGGCUCCCAGAAGCCAUCUCUUUUAUUUUGACCUCGGAUCAGGUAGGGAUACCCGCUGAACUUAAGCAUAUCAAUAAGCGGAGGA
This 338-nucleotide unclassified non-coding RNA is filed under the name soil metagenome. RNAcentral's name for it is "partial contains 5.8S ribosomal RNA, internal transcribed spacer 2, and large subunit ribosomal RNA". The stretch from base 1 to 120 matches the Rfam family "5.8S ribosomal RNA", at positions 35 to 154 of the family's 154-position model. The record is from RNAcentral.